RNAcentral lists this ribosomal RNA (544 nucleotides) under uncultured archaeon. RNAcentral describes it as "bacterial SSU rRNA". It matches the Rfam family "Archaeal small subunit ribosomal RNA", at positions 456 to 997 of the family's 1478-position model. The record is from RNAcentral.
GGCCAGCAGCCGCGGGUAACACCGGCGGCCCGAGUGGUGAUCGUGAUUAUUGGGUCUAAAGGGUCCGUAGCCGGUUUGGUCAGUCCUCCGGGAAAUCUGAUAGCUCAACUAUUAGGCUUUCGGGGGAUACUGCCAGACUUGGAACCGGGAGAGGUAAGAGGUACUACAGGGGUAGGAGUGAAAUCUUGUAAUCCCUGUGGGACCACCUGUGGCGAAGGCGUCUUACCAGAACGGGUUCGACGGUGAGGGACGAAAGCUGGGGGCACGAACCGGAUUAGAUACCCGGGUAGUCCCAGCCGUAAACGAUGCUCGCUAGGUGUCAGGCAUGGCGCGACCGUGUCUGGUGCCGCAGGGAAGCCGUGAAGCGAGCCACCUGGGAAGUACGGCCGCAAGGCUGAAACUUAAAGGAAUUGGCGGGGGAGCACAACAACGGGUGGAGCCCUGCGGUUUAAUUGGACUCAACGCCGGACAACUCACCGGGGGCGACAGCAAUAUGUAGGCCAAGCUGAAGACUUUGCCUGAAUCGCUGAGAAGAGGUGCAUGG